GAUGAAGAACGUAGCGAAAUGCGAUAAGUAAUGUGAAUUGCAGAAUUCAGUGAAUCAUCGAAUCUUUGAACGCACAUUGCGCCCGCCAGUAUUCUGGCGGGCAUGCCUGUUCGAGCGUCAUUACAACCCUCAGGCCCCCGGGCCUGGCGUUGGGGAUCGGCGGAGCCCCCCGUGGGCACACGCCGUCCCCCAAAUGCAGUGGCGGUCCCGCCGCAGCUUCCAUCGCGUAGUUGCUAACACCUCGCGACUGGAGAGCGGCGCGGCCACGCCGUAAAACACCCAACUCUUCUGAAGUUGACUUCGAAUCAGGUAGGAAUACCCGCUGAACUUAAGCAUAUCAAUAAACGGAGGA
This 352-nucleotide unclassified non-coding RNA is filed under the name soil metagenome. Its description in RNAcentral is "partial contains 5.8S ribosomal RNA, internal transcribed spacer 2, and large subunit ribosomal RNA". The stretch from base 1 to 120 matches the Rfam family "5.8S ribosomal RNA", at positions 35 to 154 of the family's 154-position model. The record is from RNAcentral.